This 721-nucleotide long non-coding RNA is filed under the name Elaeis guineensis (African oil palm). Its description in RNAcentral is "long non-coding RNA (EGUI_LNC077706)". Lineage: Eukaryota; Viridiplantae; Streptophyta; Magnoliopsida; Arecales; Arecaceae. The record is from RNAcentral.
CUGUGCGGACACGUGGCUACUUACCAAUGGCUAAAGCCAUGUGGCUUAGAUUGCUGUUUUUGAGUAAACGGGUGAUUCAAACUAUAAAAGAAUCUCUCUCCAAAACCGCAGGAGGUGAGAACGAGACCGGUUGGGCGGCCGAGAGCUCGCGUGCGGAUGAUUUCUUCUGUGAAGGCCAUAGAAAGAUUGCCUUUGGCUCAUACUCGUUCAAACCCCUUUCUCUGAGGUAUCCCCCUCUUGUUUCUCCUUUCUUCUUAGGCGUUUAUGGACUCUAUUCUUCGUUCUUGUUAUGCUAAUAUUGGUUUGUUAUAUCCUGUAUUCUUUCUUCCAACGAUUGGACUUCAUGUUUUCAAUUUGGCCUCCUAUGCCCAGCCGAGAUCUAGCCUCCUCUACUUUUUUUUUGCCGUACCUUUUUACACCUGACGUUAAAUUGAUUUGAUUAUAGCAUUGUGCCGGAAUACUGCAGACUUAUUGUUCGAUAUUAUGUCCAUGUGACUUUCUCCGGUGUAUGUGGGAAGAUUAAUGGAGUCAUGAGUUAGAAUAAGAAAUAGAAAAGUUAUUUUAUUGCCAUCGCUUAAAAAGCUGCGAUUUUUAACGUUCCUGUCUUGUUUAUUAGCUAUAGUUUUUGUUGGGACAUACCGACCGAUCAUUUUCACGCCGACUCACUUUUGGGCCUACCCGACUGGUGUCCGACUCUACCGAUCGUACCGACCGACGACUG